RNAcentral lists this unclassified non-coding RNA (541 nucleotides) under Hevea brasiliensis (rubber tree). Lineage: Eukaryota; Viridiplantae; Streptophyta; Magnoliopsida; Malpighiales; Euphorbiaceae. The record is from RNAcentral.
GGCACAAGCACUAUCUACAACCAAUAAAAUAGUUCCAACAACAGCAUACUUGGCUUAAUAAGUUGUAAUUUAUAAAUGAACAUCUCUCAGCUUAUAAAUAAAAUGUUAAAUUCGAGUUCCCAUUUCUCUCCUUAAAAAUAAUUACACUAAUUAACAAAAAUAAAAUUUCUACAACACCAAGUAAUUAGUUGUAAAUUCCAUGAAGAGAAAGAGAAGAGUUGAAGGAAAGCAACUUCAAGCACACAUGUAUGAGCAUCAAAGCAAAGACCAUCUGGGUAGGUUGGGCUUCUGUUUGAUCUGAAGCAGUAGCCAAGCAUAUAACUAAGGUGAACAAAAAAGAUAGUGAGAAAUUUAAAUCGAAACAUUUAAACUCUUGCCUCUCUUUCAAUCCUUGAAGGGAAUAUUGCUCCUGAUCAUACUCAACAGGAGUAAAGAACAAUCCCUCCGUUAUGGCCCGAUCAUAAAACACCAUCGCUGACCAUCUUUUUCUAUCAUCAUCAUCAUCCUCCAAGUUAUCAUCAAACAUUAGAUGGACUCCACA